Molecule: ribosomal RNA, 194 nt
Filed under: uncultured Bacillus sp.
Lineage: Bacteria; Bacillati; Bacillota; Bacilli; Caryophanales; Bacillaceae
Description: partial 16S ribosomal RNA
Rfam family: Bacterial small subunit ribosomal RNA
Source: RNAcentral
CCUACGGGAGGCAGCAGUAGGGAAUCUUCCGCAAUGGACGAAAGUCUGACGGAGCAACGCCGCGUGAGUGAUGAAGGUUUUCGGAUCGUAAAGCUCUGUUGUUAGGGAAGAACAAGUGCGAGAGUAACUGCUCGCACCUUGACGGUACCUAACCAGAAAGCCACGGCUAACUACGUGCCAGCAGCCGCGGUAAU